UAAUGUGUACUCAUGGUCCCUUGAAC
This 26-nucleotide non-coding RNA is filed under the name Homo sapiens (human). Lineage: Eukaryota; Metazoa; Chordata; Mammalia; Primates; Hominidae. The record is from RNAcentral.